This 166-nucleotide ribosomal RNA is filed under the name Ipomoea nil (Japanese morning glory). RNAcentral describes it as "5.8S ribosomal RNA". It matches the Rfam family "5.8S ribosomal RNA". From Rfam's summary of the family: 5.8S ribosomal RNA (5.8S rRNA) is a component of the large subunit of the eukaryotic ribosome. It is transcribed by RNA polymerase I as part of the 45S precursor that also contains 18S and 28S rRNA. Lineage: Eukaryota; Viridiplantae; Streptophyta; Magnoliopsida; Solanales; Convolvulaceae. The record is from RNAcentral.
CAAAUACGACUCUCGGCAACGGAUAUCUCGGCUCUCGCAUCGAUGAAGAACGUAGCGAAAUGCGAUACUUGGUGUGAAUUGCAGAAUCCCGUGAACCAUCGAGUCUUUGAACGCAAGUUGCGCCCGAAGCCGUCAGGCCGAGGGCACGUCUGCCUGGGCGUCACGC